AAAGCAUCCGUAGCCGGUUCUGCAAAUACCCUGUGAAAUCGUCCCGCUCAACGGGGCGGCGUGCAGGGUAGACUACAGGACUAGGGACCAGGUGAGGUGGACGGUAUUCCGUGGGGAGCGGUGAAAUGUGAUAAUCCUCGGAGGACCACCAAUGGCGAGGGGAGUUGACGGGGAUAGAUCGGACGGUNAGGGAUUAAAAGUGGGGGGGCGGUCCCGAGGAGAUACCCCACUAGUCCUAGCUGUAAACUCUGCGUGCCAGAUGUUGCGUAAUCUCCGAGAUUGCGCAGUGUCGUAACGAAGGUGUUAAGCACGCCACCUGGGAAGUACGGUCGCAAGGCUGAAACUUAAAGGAAUUGGCGGGGAGACACCACAACGGGUGCGGCGUGCGGUUUAAUCGUAUUCAACACCGAGAAUCUCACCAGGGGCGACGGCACAAUGACGCUCAGUCUGAAGGGCUUACCUGAGGAGCCGAGAGGUGGUGCAUGGCCGCCGUCAGCUCGUGCCGU
Molecule: ribosomal RNA, 506 nt
Filed under: uncultured euryarchaeote
Lineage: Archaea; Methanobacteriati; Methanobacteriota
Description: bacterial SSU rRNA
Rfam family: Archaeal small subunit ribosomal RNA
Source: RNAcentral